GCGCUGGAAGAGCAAACUCAGAACGGGUCGUUACGGCACAAGCACGAAGGAUUAUUUUGCCUACCAAGAUGACCGACGAUUAUGAGCCUUCCCCCUGGUUCGUCAAACGGCUAACCCAACGGUAAUGGACUCGAUGGUUAUGCUUCAUCCCCGGUAAUCGAUUGGGGGAACGGCGAGCACACGUGCAUAGCACUCGGUUGGUUAAUUUCUGGCCGAUGUAAAUUAGAGUCCAGCCAUCAGCUAACAUUCGCCGAGACUGGGCGAGAAUCGUCCAACGGCAAAACUUUUGUGCCCCGUCUGUCUGUAUAACGCUCACUAAUUUGCAAUAAUAUGUAUGUGUGCGACUGUUUGUUUGUUUGAGGUACAGUCCCCCAACUCCUGGGCUGAGGUUGAGGAACAAAAAACCUAACUCCCACCAAAGCAAGGUUGGCUAAACACGCAAAUAAUGGCCAGUUUACGGCUACUUAUACUCAGCGAUGCCUCACACCGAGGGUGCUUAAAAAGUUGCCUGCAACAACCACACCUUCGCUGUGUGUCCGUCAGUGUUGGAAGAUAUCGGGGACGCAGCUUCUUACGCUCUGGACGCUCAUCAACGCGUGCCCUGUAAGAUACGGUGGGAACGUCAGCAACUGACGCCCUCAUCCCGGCGAACUUGUCGGAAGUAUAACCACGCCACCAAGGCAUUCGGGUAGAUAGUUUCCCUUGUGACGUUGUGCUAAUGUUGAGUGUGAAGCAGCACACGAACAGAACAAUAACACCAAAAGAAAUCUCUCACACACACACUCACCCAUACUUAUAUCCAGAGUAAACUUCAAGCUGUUAGUCAAAUAAAAACAGAUUUCCCACAUUCACUCGCUCGUAUCCGAUUUGUCACCGGUAGCCCGAAGGUUCGUCUUAGAGAAGACCUCCGUGCUUUAGUUUGCGUUGUGGUUGGCCGUGGGAGAACCCAUGUCGUCCAAUGCACCGUGCUACUUCGUCCAUCUUGUUCUUGGCGGGGAACGGGUGCGUCCGAAAGGACAAAAGGACCGUAAACGUGUGCCAACCACAGACAGGUGCGGUUGUUGAGUGCUGUGUGGCAGAAGGAACCAGGACAACGUCAGGAUUAGACAACCACGAAGGGUGGUAGGGUAGAUUCUUCGGAUGGGCUUUUUCGAGACCCGAAACCUCACCUGUGCCUGGAGCGAGCUCGACCGGGCCUAUGCCUAAGACACGUCAUCCCGGGUCGAUAAAUGGUCCCGUGCAGAAGAUUAAACAAACAACAUCAAACUGAAAAGGUGUGCCGCUGAACGUGAAGGGUGUACAUACUUUUUGCCGGUCUCCAAAAAUACCGCAGCUCAGUAGCAUCCGCCUUGCCUUGCUGAGGCUAAGGUCCUAUAAUGGUCGGCUUGCUAGCUGUAAAGCAGGGUUAGUGAGAUUAUGGAAGUACGCAAGUGAGAAGGUUAGUUUAAUAUAAAACUUCAACACUUUACUCUUAAAUCGAGCCAAAAACCAAGCUAAUAAGAGUUUUCUUUUUGAACAACACCUU
This is a long non-coding RNA of Anopheles stephensi (Asian malaria mosquito), 1525 nucleotides long. RefSeq lists it as uncharacterized. The transcript has 2 exons. NCBI's taxonomy places the organism in Eukaryota, Metazoa, Arthropoda, Insecta, Diptera, Culicidae. The record is from RefSeq and is a predicted model, not a curated record.